RNAcentral lists this ribosomal RNA (458 nucleotides) under uncultured organism. Its description in RNAcentral is "bacterial SSU rRNA". It matches the Rfam family "Bacterial small subunit ribosomal RNA", at positions 8 to 479 of the family's 1533-position model. The record is from RNAcentral.
AGAGUUUGAUCAUGGCUCAGGAUGAACGCUGGCGGCGUGCUUAACACAUGCAAGUCGAACGAUGAAGCCCAGCUUGCUGGGUGGAUUAGUGGCGAACGGGUGAGUAACACGUGAGUAACCUGCCCUUAACUCUGGGAUAAGCCUGGGAAACUGGGUCUAAUACCGGAUAGGAGCGCCUACCGCAUGGUGGGUGUUGGAAAGAUUUAUCGGUUUUGGAUGGACUCGCGGCCUAUCAGCUUGUUGGUGAGGUAAUGGCUCACCAAGGCGACGACGGGUAGCCGGCCUGAGAGGGUGACCGGCCACACUGGGACUGAGACACGGCCCAGACUCCUACGGGAGGCAGCAGUGGGGAAUAUUGCACAAUGGGCGCAAGCCUGAUGCAGCGACGCCGCGUGAGGGAUGACGGCCUUCGGGUUGUAAACCUCUUUCAGUAGGGAAGAAGCGAAAGUGACGGUACC